GUCGCUAAGCCCCGCCCCCUCCGCUGCUACUAACGUCAAACCGUCAGAAACCGUCAGAUUAAUGUUGGAAACAGCGAUUUCAGAGAGAAGCAGACAGAAAGGUUUACAAUAUGUGUUUAAAGAAUGUAUCCAGGAUGUCAAAGUGACAAACUCAGCAGUGAAAACAGGUUAAAAAGAUAAAAAAUGAAAGCUAAAGCCUGUCAAUCAGAGUGUUAACCACCAUCAUCACCUGGAGAGACAACAGUCAAGUGAAGGAGCAACACUGAACCUGUUAAACCAGCUGUCUGAAUAUUUCAUCAAUGAUCUGGAGUGAGGUGAGACGAGGGAACGUUAAGCCAACCUGCUGAGGAUUCUGGGGUUGCUAGUCGUCUCCAGUGAGUUUCCUGCUUUACCAACCGGAAAAAAGCUGCAGCCGUAGUUCACACGGAAAACACUACAAAGUGGCUGCUUGGUCCAAGCUUUUAAGGCCUGCUCAUUUGCUGGUGGCCUUGAACUCUGAGCGUGAUGCUGACCUGAGCCCAGCGGCGGUUCCUGCUGAUCAUGUGUGUGUUGGCCAUGGCGGUGAAGAGGUUGUGUGCCUGUAGGUCCUCCGGCAGGCGGGUGAGGAACUGAGCAAUGUGGAUG
Sebastes umbrosus (honeycomb rockfish) is the source of this 624-nucleotide long non-coding RNA. RefSeq lists it as uncharacterized. The transcript is spliced from 4 exons. The record is from RefSeq and is a predicted model, not a curated record. Lineage: Eukaryota; Metazoa; Chordata; Actinopteri; Perciformes; Sebastidae.